Molecule: small nuclear RNA, 107 nt
Filed under: Propithecus coquereli (Coquerel's sifaka)
Lineage: Eukaryota; Metazoa; Chordata; Mammalia; Primates; Indriidae
Source: RNAcentral
GUGCUUGCUUUGAGAGCACAUAUACUAAAAUCGUAAUGAUACAGAGAAGAUUAGCAUGGUCCCUGCACAAGGAUAACACAGAAAUUAGUGAAGCAUUCCAUAUUUUU